Molecule: unclassified non-coding RNA, 287 nt
Filed under: Serendipita sp.
Lineage: Eukaryota; Fungi; Basidiomycota; Agaricomycetes; Sebacinales; Serendipitaceae
Description: partial contains small subunit ribosomal RNA, internal transcribed spacer 1, and 5.8S ribosomal RNA
Rfam family: Eukaryotic small subunit ribosomal RNA (bases 1-46)
Source: RNAcentral
AAGUCGUAACAAGGUUUCCGUAGGUGAACCUGCGGAAGGAUCAUUAAUGAAACUUCAAAGUCGGCUUGUCUUUUCUCUGUUGCUGGUGGAGACACAUGUGCACGGGAGAAGCUAGUCGCAAAUCCACACACCUGUGCAUCUUAUGACUCGGAGUCCGCCGCUUUGCAUGGGCCCUUUAGUGGGCCUUGGCGACUUGAGUACUUUUACACACUCUUGAAUGUAAUGGAAUGUCUAUUGUGCACAAUGUACAACUAAAACAACUUUCAACAACGGAUCUCUUGGCUCUC